GCCAGGUAUGGUGGUGCGUGCCUGUAAUCCCAGCUACUUGGGAGGCUGAGGCAGGAGAAUCACUUGAACCUGGGAGGCACAGGUUGCAGUGAGCAGAGAUCGUGCCACUGCACUCCAGCCUGGGUGACAGAGUGAGACCCUGUCUCAG
Pongo abelii (Sumatran orangutan) is the source of this 148-nucleotide unclassified non-coding RNA. It matches the Rfam family "Metazoan signal recognition particle RNA". From Rfam's summary of the family: The signal recognition particle (SRP) is a universally conserved ribonucleoprotein. It is involved in the co-translational targeting of proteins to membranes. Lineage: Eukaryota; Metazoa; Chordata; Mammalia; Primates; Hominidae. The record is from Ensembl.